Molecule: ribosomal RNA, 447 nt
Filed under: uncultured bacterium
Lineage: Bacteria
Description: bacterial SSU rRNA
Rfam family: Bacterial small subunit ribosomal RNA
Source: RNAcentral
CGCCAGACUCCUACGGGAGGCAGCAGUGGGGAAUAUUGCACAAUGGGGGAAACCCUGAUGCAGCGACGCCGCGCGAGCGAUGAAGUAUUUCGGUAUGUAAAGCUCUAUCAGCAGGGAAGAAGAUGACGGUACCUGACUAAGAAGCCCCGGCUAACUACGUGCCAGCAGCCGCGGUAAUACGUAGGGGGCAAGCGUUAUCCGGAUUUACUGGGUGUAAAGGGAGCGUAGACGGCGGCGCAAGCCAGAUGUGAAAGCCCGGGGCUCAACUCCGGGACUGCAUUUGGAACUGUGUGGCUGGAGUGUCGGAGAGGCAGGCGGAAUUCCUAGUGUAGCGGUGAAAUGCGUAGAUAUUAGGAGGAACACCAGUGGCGAAGGCGGCCCGCUGGACGAUGACUGACGUUGAGGCUCGAAAGCGUGGGGAGCAAACAGGAUUAGAUACCCCAGUAC